AUGCAAGAGGCAAACAAAUCUAUGAAAGAAAAAUGUAUUAAAGCUGAUGAUGUUAAGAAUUUACCGCAUAUUGAAGAAAUACACGGUCUUAAUUUGCCGCCUGUUGAAGAAAUACAUGGUCUUGAUAACCCGACACAGGUAGUAAAGGUAAAUUCUCUCUAUAGAUUUGAUGAAGGUGAUAUUUCUUGUUAUAAGUUUGCUAGCCAAUGCUUAGAUGAAUUUGAUAAUUUUAUUGUCAAACAAGAAAACUUCAAUGCUUAUGUUGGUAGACAAUUGAAACGCAAUGCUUAUAUGAUUGAGCACUUGAGUGAUUAUAUGUCUAGAGUUAAAUGUGAACUCAAACUCAUUAGUAAACAUGCUUCUAUGGUUACCACUCAAGUAGAACAAGUGCUUAAAGCUCAAAAUGAUUUGCUCAAAUAG
RNAcentral lists this ribosomal RNA (420 nucleotides) under Triticum aestivum (bread wheat). RNAcentral's name for it is "partial small subunit ribosomal RNA". The record is from RNAcentral. Lineage: Eukaryota; Viridiplantae; Streptophyta; Magnoliopsida; Poales; Poaceae.